RNAcentral lists this unclassified non-coding RNA (286 nucleotides) under uncultured fungus. Its description in RNAcentral is "partial contains 5.8S rRNA and ITS2". The stretch from base 1 to 52 matches the Rfam family "5.8S ribosomal RNA", at positions 103 to 154 of the family's 154-position model. Lineage: Eukaryota; Fungi. The record is from RNAcentral.
AACGCAUCUUGCGCUCCAUGGUAUUCCGUGGAGCAUGCCUGUUUGAGUGUCACGUCAACCCUCGUUCAUGUGAUGUUACAAUCGCAUGAAUGGAUUUGGACCGUGUCGUAAUCGACUCGUCCUGAAAUGCAUUAGCUUGCGCUUUUAGAGUGCUGGGCACCGGUGUGAUAAUUAUCUGCGCCAACGCCUUUAGCCUCUUCAGUUGUGCUGCUUACAGUCGUCCUUUGACGGACAAUUAUUUUAAAGCUUUGGCCUCAAAUCAGGUAGGACUACCCGCUGAACUUAA